Molecule: ribosomal RNA, 867 nt
Filed under: uncultured Nitrososphaerota archaeon
Lineage: Archaea; Thermoproteati; Nitrososphaerota
Description: bacterial SSU rRNA
Rfam family: Archaeal small subunit ribosomal RNA
Source: RNAcentral
UUCCGGUUGAUCCUGCCGGACCUGACUGCUAUCGGAUUGAUACUAAGCCAUGCGAGUCAUUGUAGCAAUACAAGGCAUACGGCUCAGUAACGCGUAGUCAACCUAACCUAUGGACGGGAAUAACCUCGGGAAACUGAGAAUAAUGCCCGAUAGAACAUUAUGCCUGGAAUGGUUUAUGUUCCAAAUGAUUUAUCGCCGUAGGAUGGGACUGCGGCCUAUCAGUUUGUUGGUGAGGUAAUGGCCCACCAAGACUAUUACAGGUACGGGCUCUGAGAGGAGUAGCCCGGAGAUGGGUACUGAGACACGGACCCAGGCCCUAUGGGGCGCAGCAGGCGAGAAAACUUUGCAAUGUGCGAAAGCACGACAAGGUUAAUCCGAGUGGUUUCUGCUAAAGGAACCUUUUGUCAGUCCUAGAAACACUGAUGAAUAAGGGGUGGGCAAGUUCUGGUGUCAGCCGCCGCGGUAAAACCAGCACCUCAAGUGGUCAGGAUGAUUAUUGGGCCUAAAGCAUCCGUAGCCGGCUCUGUAAGUUUUCGGUUAAAUCUGUACGCUCAACGUACAGGCUGCCGGGAAUACUGCAAAGCUAGGGAGUGGGAGAGGUAGACGGUACUCGGUAGGAAGGGGUAAAAUCCUUUGAUCUAUUGAUGACCACCUGUGGCGAAGGCGGUCUACCAGAACACGUCCGACGGUGAGGGAUGAAAGCUGGGGGAGCAAACCGGAUUAGAUACCCGGGUAGUCCCAGCUGUAAACCAUGCAAACUCAGUGAUGCAUUGGCUUGUGGCCAAUGCAGUGCUGCAGGGAAGCCGUUAAGUUUGCCGCCUGGGAAGUACGUACGCAAGUAUGAAACUUAAAGGAAUUGGCGGGGGA